UACGUAGGGUGCAAGCGUUGUCCGGAAUUAUUGGGCGUAAAGGGCUCGUAGGCGGUCCGUCACGUCGGGAGUGAAAUCCUGGGGCUUAACCCCAGAACUGCUUCCGAUACGGGCAGACUAGAGGUAGGUAGGGGAGAAUGGAAUUCCUGGUGUAGCGGUGGAAUGCGCAGAUAUCAGGAGGAACACCAGUGGCGAAGGCGGUUCUCUGGGCAUGACCUGACGCUGAGGAGCGAAAGUGUGGGGAGCGAACAGG
Molecule: ribosomal RNA, 253 nt
Filed under: uncultured bacterium
Lineage: Bacteria
Description: partial 16S ribosomal RNA
Rfam family: Bacterial small subunit ribosomal RNA
Source: RNAcentral